GACGAACGCUGGCGGCGUGCUUAACACAUGCAAGUCGAACGGAAACGCCCUGCUUUUGUGGGGUGCUCGAGUGGCGAACGGGUGAGUAACACGUGAGUAACCUGCCCUUCACUUUGGGAUAACUUCAGGAAACUGGGCCUAAUACCGGAUAGGAGCUCCUGCUGCAUGGUGGGGGUUGGAAAGUUUCGGCGGUUGGGGAUGGACUCGCGGCUUAUCAGCUUGUUGGUGGGGUAGUGGCUUACCAAGGCUUUGACGGGUAGCCGGCCUGAGAGGGUGACCGGCCACAUUGGGACUGAGAUACGGCCCAGACUCCUACGGGAGGCAGCAGUGGGGAAUAUUGCACAAUGGGCGGAAGCCUGAUGCAGCAACGCCGCGUGCGGGAUGACGGCCUUCGGGUUGUAAACCGCUUUCGCCUGUGACGAAGCGUGAGUGACGGUAAUGGGUAAAGAAGCACCGGCUAACUACGUG
Molecule: ribosomal RNA, 468 nt
Filed under: uncultured bacterium
Lineage: Bacteria
Description: partial 16S ribosomal RNA
Rfam family: Bacterial small subunit ribosomal RNA
Source: RNAcentral